AUGUUACUAGGGGUGCCUAAAAGCUGAGAGAGUGAUUACUCAACCCUUUGAACCUGAUGUGGUUAGAACCAUCGAAGGAAAGUAAGUAAUUU
Molecule: non-coding RNA, 92 nt
Filed under: uncultured Clostridium sp.
Lineage: Bacteria; Bacillati; Bacillota; Clostridia; Eubacteriales; Clostridiaceae
Description: TPP riboswitch (THI element)
Rfam family: TPP riboswitch aptamer (THI element)
About the family: Vitamin B(1) in its active form thiamin pyrophosphate (TPP) is an essential coenzyme that is synthesised by coupling of pyrimidine and thiazole moieties in bacteria. The previously detected thiamin-regulatory element, thi box was extended, resulting in a new, highly conserved RNA secondary structure, the THI element, which is widely distributed in eubacteria and also occurs in some archaea.
Source: RNAcentral